RNAcentral lists this ribosomal RNA (253 nucleotides) under uncultured bacterium. RNAcentral describes it as "partial 16S ribosomal RNA". It matches the Rfam family "Bacterial small subunit ribosomal RNA", at positions 524 to 776 of the family's 1533-position model. The record is from RNAcentral.
UACGUAGGGUCCGAGCGUUGUCCGGAAUUAUUGGGCGUAAAGGGUUCGUAGGCGGUUUGUCGCGUCGGGAGUGAAAACACGGGGCUUAACCCCGUGCCUGCUUCCGAUACGGGCAGACUAGGGGUAUGCAGGGGAGAACGGAAUUCCUGGUGUAGCGGUGAAAUGCGCAGAUAUCAGGAGGAACACCGGUGGCGAAGGCGGUUCUCUGGGCAGUAACUGACGCUGAGGAGCGAAAGCGUGGGGAGCGAACAGG